CAGCCGCCACGGGAAUACGAAGGGUGCAAGCGUUAAUCGGAAUUACUGGGCGUAAAGCGUGCGUAGGCGGUUUGUUAAGUCUGCUGUGAAAUCCCCGGGCUCAACCUGGGAAUGGCAGUGGAUACUGGCAAGCUAGAGUGUGUCAGAGGAUGGUGGAAUUCCCGGUGUAGCGGUGAAAUGCGUAGAGAUCGGGAGGAACAUCAGUGGCGAAGGCGGCCAUCUGGGACAACACUGACGCUGAGGUACGAAAGCAUGGGGAGCAAACAGGAUUAGAUACCCGCGUAGUCCCUGUCUCUUAUAC
RNAcentral lists this ribosomal RNA (301 nucleotides) under uncultured bacterium. RNAcentral describes it as "partial 16S ribosomal RNA". It matches the Rfam family "Bacterial small subunit ribosomal RNA", at positions 509 to 807 of the family's 1533-position model. The record is from RNAcentral.